RNAcentral lists this ribosomal RNA (404 nucleotides) under uncultured bacterium. RNAcentral's name for it is "bacterial SSU rRNA". It matches the Rfam family "Bacterial small subunit ribosomal RNA", at positions 355 to 776 of the family's 1533-position model. The record is from RNAcentral.
UGGGGAAUAUUGGACAAUGGGGGAAACCCUGAUCCAGCCAUGCCGCGUGGAUGACGAAGGCCUUCGGGUUGUAAAAUCCUUUUGGCGGGGACGAUGAUGACGGUACCCGCAGAAUAAGCUCCGGCUAACUUCGUGCCAGCAGCCGCGGUAAUACGAAGGGAGCUAGCGUUGUUCGGAAUUACUGGGCGUAAAGGGCGCGUAGGCGGUUUGGCAAGUUGGAUGUGAAAGCCCCGGGCUUAACCCGGGAACAGCAUACAGGACUGUCAGACUUGAAUUCGGUAGAGGUUGGUGGAAUUCCCAGUGUAGAGGUGAAAUUCGUAGAUAUUGGGAAGAAUAUCCGUGGCGAAGGCGGCCAACUGGACCGAAAUUGACGCUGAGGCGCGAAAGCGUGGGGAGCAAACAGG